RNAcentral lists this ribosomal RNA (475 nucleotides) under uncultured bacterium. RNAcentral's name for it is "bacterial SSU rRNA". It matches the Rfam family "Bacterial small subunit ribosomal RNA", at positions 28 to 507 of the family's 1533-position model. The record is from RNAcentral.
GAUGAACGCUGGCGGCGUGCCUCAAACAUGCAAGUCGAGCGGGCGUAUGUAAUAUCGCAAGGUAGAACAUAGCCUAGCGGCGAACGGGUGAGUAACACGUGGGUAACCUGCCUGGAAGACAGGGAUAACGAUUCGAAAGGGUCGCUAAUACCUGAUAAUAUCCUUUCAUCGCAUGGUGAUAGGAAGAAAGGGGAAACCCGCUUUCAGAUGGGCCCGCGUCCCAUCAGCUAGUUGGUAAGGUAAAGGCUUACCAAGGCGACGACGGGUAGCCGGUCUGAGAGGAUGUACGGCCACACUGGGACUGAGAUACGGCCCAGACUCCUACGGGAGGCAGCAGUUGGGAAUCUUAGGCAAUGGACGAAAGUCUGACCUAGCGACGCCGCGUGAGGGAAGAAGGCCUUCGGGUUGUAAACCUCUGUCAUGGGGGAAGAAGUAAGUGACGGUACCCCAAGAGGAAGCCCCUGCUAACUACGUG